AAUUAUUAAAAAAAUAUAUAUAUAUGUUUUUUGAAAUAUGUGAUAUAAAUUUAACACGAAUGGAAAAUAACUAUUCCAUUAUCAUGAAUGGCUAUUUCAUUCCAUGAACCAAUCAAAUGCUAGUAAUACAUAACUCUCCUGUAUGAUACAUCAAAGUGGUCAUCUUCACUUAGGCAUGGGAUUGCACUCCUGGUUUUGUGUGUUUUUAUACAACUGAUAGCAAUGCAUCUUCUAUAUAAAAAUAUGUCUGGUAAUAUCUUUGAUGUUUGAUUUUGCUAUUUCAUUCCAUGAACCAAUCAAAUGCUAGUAAUACAUAACUCUCCUGUAUGAUACAUCAAAGUGGUCAUCUUCACUUAGGCAUGGGAUUGCACUCCUGGUUUUGUGUGUUUUUAUACAACUGAUAGCAAUGCAUCUUCUAUAUAAAAAUAUGUCUGGUAAUAUCUUUGAUGUUUGAUUUU
RNAcentral lists this unclassified non-coding RNA (458 nucleotides) under Hevea brasiliensis (rubber tree). The record is from RNAcentral. Lineage: Eukaryota; Viridiplantae; Streptophyta; Magnoliopsida; Malpighiales; Euphorbiaceae.